AGAAAGAAAGAAAGAAAGAAAGAAAGAAAGAAAGAAAGAGUAGGGUGGUUGAGGAAGACACCCCAUGUCCACCUCUGGUUUCACACAUGCAUAUGCACCUGCACUCACAUAGUGUUUCUAAAGCAAACAAACAAACAGGCAGGCAGGCAGGCUGGCAGGCAGAGAGACAGACAGACAAUCAAACAGGAACCCAGGUAUGGUUGGUUAACAGCCCUGGAGGCUGGAAAUUAGGAUUCAGGCUUAGCUCAAAUUGUUAGUAGGGUGACACCCAGACACCCUUGGAACUGUGAUUCCUAGCUGCUUGAUUCCUGCUCCUGAGCUGAGCACCCCUCCUCGUCUCCUAGCCCACUUCAGAGCUGUAGCAAGCCAGGUGCCUUCGUGCUGCUGUGGCUUUCUGCUCCACAGUCAGCUCCACCCUGGCCUCCUUCUGACUAGCUGGAGACCAGUUGUCGUCUCCUCUCACGGACUUGACUUCACCUGCUCUGCAGCCUUCUGGACAAGUGAAGGGCGACACCCUUCCUGCAGGGACCAGGAUCUGGGUGUAUCUGGGACCACAGCUUGGCUACUGCACUGCACUGAGUCAGAAGCAGACUGUCUUCUCUGGUCAGGGCACAGGUUGCUCCCCCAAAUAAAGAGAACGGCUUCCUUUUUCCUUUUCAACUCUCAGUGCAUCUCAAAAGCAGUGAGAAGGCACCAGUUCACCUCCUCACUCAUUAGCUUGAGAGGACCUAUUCAGGAGGGAUAGAGGGACUCCCCGAGGAGAGGAAACCCUUGGCCAGGUCUUAAAGAGCAAGAGCAUACUCUUUUAUCUUAACAAAACCCAGUGAGCAGAGCCUGUAUCUUACAGAGGAAAAUCUGAGGGUCAUAGAUGUAACCCAGCUAGGCUUCAAUGGCUGGUAAAGACAGAGCCCGCCCCUCCCAGUGGAUCAGGGUCUGAGAUGGAGGUGAAGGCCACUGGCUGGUCUGGCUGGUCUUAGAGGUGUUAGAUAGAGGGAUAUCUCCGGCUAACGUUACCUAGCAUGAAGGCAAGGCUAGCACUGAACAGGAGAAGGAAACUUCUCGUCUUGUGGUUCUUCUGGUGGGGGCAUCCUGCUUAUGUCACUUCCUUUGUUUGCAGUCAGGGUUUGUCCCCUCCUGGCUAGGCACAGUCUCUAGAGUCUCGUCAUGCAGCACGAAGCCCUGCAUGGCUCAGCCACUCCGUGUCAGUCCUACAGGCUGUUCCCAGCAUCUCCUGUGCAAGCGCAAGCCACACAGACAUGACCAUGGUUUCUGUUUUUAUCACAGACACCUUUUGACUCUCAGUCAUUUCCUUAGGAGAUGUGUGCAAGUUUGGAGCCAGAAUGGGAGGCAACAGUGAAUAGGGUUAAAAGUCAGCCUAGAAUCCACAAUUCUGUGCUACCCUGGGAAAUAAUUGCUUCUCAGGUCCUCAGUUUUCUCUUGUGUGAAAUAUAUGACCUGAAGGAUGCUUAAGUUGCAACCACUGGUCUGAUGGUAGAAAAAGAAAAGAAAAGAAAAGAAAAGAAAAGAAAAGAAAAGAAAAGAAAAGAAAAGAAAAGAAAAGAAAAGAAAAAUAGAAGCUCCUGGCUGGUCGGCCUCCCCUCAGUGUCUCUCGCUCAUCAUGUAGGGCUGAGAAACACAUAGGAUUGAAUUUUGUGGUAAGUGAUGCUGGUGUGUGUGUGUGUGUGUGUGUGUGUGUGUGUGUAUACACACGUAUGUAGUAUGGUUAUCCAUGCAACAUCCAUCUGCAUCCAUGGAGAGGCCCAGACAGGACAUGAGCGUGUCUUCCUCCAUAACUCUCCACCUAAUUGCCUGGAAGCUCACAUCUUGCCUAGGCAGGAUGAGCAAUAAAGUCCUAAGGUCUGUCUGUCUCUGUUACAGGGAUGGCUUUUAUGUGGGUGCUGGGGGAUUUGAACUAAGGUCCUCAUGUUCACUGAACAAACGCUCUUCCCAGCUAAGCUAUCUUCCCACUAAGCUAUCUUCCCAGCCCUUUGAGGUAGGACAGAGACUCUCUAAUGAGAUAGAUAUGACUGGGUUGGUGGCUCAACCUGGCCAUCCAGUGGCAGGAAAGCGGGAAGUGAAUCACCAUGACUUUGAGACCAGUCUGGGCUACGUAGCUUAAGUCCUAGCUGAUGAAGUAUGUGGGCGGUUGACAAUGAAACCCUUAGACGGGCGGCUGAACAGGAGUGGUGGUGGUGGGGUUUACAUGGUGGCUUGGACACUCAGUCUUUACUUUCUAUCCUGAGUGUCUCCUGCUUCUC
RNAcentral lists this long non-coding RNA (2258 nucleotides) under Mus musculus (house mouse). RNAcentral's name for it is "long non-coding RNA chr5:37157478-37159736". The record is from RNAcentral. Lineage: Eukaryota; Metazoa; Chordata; Mammalia; Rodentia; Muridae.